RNAcentral lists this ribosomal RNA (253 nucleotides) under uncultured bacterium. Its description in RNAcentral is "partial 16S ribosomal RNA". It matches the Rfam family "Bacterial small subunit ribosomal RNA", at positions 524 to 776 of the family's 1533-position model. The record is from RNAcentral.
UACAGAGGGUGCGAGCGUUGUUCGGAAUUAUUGGGCGUAAAGGGCGCGUAGGCGGUGCCACAAGUCACUUGUGAAAUCUCCGGGCUUAACUCGGAGCCUGCAGGCGAAACUGUGGUGCUGGAGUGUGGGAGAGGUGCGUGGAAUUCCCGGUGUAGCGGUGAAAUGCGUAGAUAUUGGGAGGAACACCAGUGGCGAAGGCGGCUCACUGGACCGGAACUGACGCUGAGGCGCGAAAGCGUGGGGAGCAAACAGG